UCCUGUCAAUAAAGAAAU
Molecule: non-coding RNA, 18 nt
Filed under: Rattus norvegicus (Norway rat)
Lineage: Eukaryota; Metazoa; Chordata; Mammalia; Rodentia; Muridae
Source: RNAcentral